Molecule: transfer RNA, 85 nt
Filed under: Felis catus (domestic cat)
Lineage: Eukaryota; Metazoa; Chordata; Mammalia; Carnivora; Felidae
Rfam family: tRNA
About the family: Transfer RNA (tRNA) molecules are approximately 80 nucleotides in length. Their secondary structure includes four short double-helical elements and three loops (D, anti-codon, and T loops).
Source: Rfam by way of RNAcentral
GCCUGAGUGGCUCAGUCGGUUGAGCGUCCGACUUCGGCUCGGGUCAUGAUCUCAAGGUUUGUGAGUUCGAGCCCCGCGUCAGGCU